GAUCCUGGCUCAGGAUGAACGCUAGCUACAGGCUUAACACAUGCAAGUCGAGGGGCAGCAUGGUCUUAGCUUGCUAAGGCCGAUGGCGACCGGCGCACGGGUGAGUAACACGUAUCCAACCUGCCGUCUACUCUUGGACAGCCUUCUGAAAGGAAGAUUAAUACAAGAUGGCAUCAUGAGUCCGCAUGUUCACAUGAUAAGUAUUCGUAGACGAUGGGGAGUG
RNAcentral lists this ribosomal RNA (223 nucleotides) under uncultured bacterium. Its description in RNAcentral is "partial 16S ribosomal RNA". It matches the Rfam family "Bacterial small subunit ribosomal RNA", at positions 15 to 233 of the family's 1533-position model. The record is from RNAcentral.